CGGCCGGAGGACAAAGUCUUUUCCACCGUACCGCUGCGCCUCCGUUAUGCAUUUGGUGUGUUUGACAAACUCUUGUCCCCUAUACAUGGAAUCAUACAUCAUCUAGCACACAGAUUAUGCAAGAUAAAUUCACCCAACUGGAACGUACCGAAAAUCUUGGAAACAAUCCAUGCAACUGACUGAAAUGGAAUUUCUGCACUUGAAUUGAAAGUGUUUUCCGACUUUAGGCUUCUUUAUUGCCUCACCACAGUGAGUACACGUGAAAAAUACCAUUUUUAUGGAUAAGCACGUGCCGGAGAAUCAUGAAUGCAAGUAUUUUUUUCUCCAAUUUGCUCUGUCGGGAUUUGCUUCGACUGGCAACUGUUGACAGCAUAAAAGUAAACUAACCUACAAGUUAAAUAUACCGUUUUAAAAAUGAGCUAUAAUUGUUGGGUAAAAUAAACUCAGGUCGUUGUAAAUCAUAGGCCUAGUGGUAGAUUUACUCACUCGAAUUGAGGUUAAAUACUGCGUGGUAAUCCAAGAUGCCAAGCUUCAAGCACGAAGUGAGAGGGAAGGAGACCGAACUCCGAUCCCAAAAGUGGGAUCAAUUUUCCAGCGAUGAGUGAGCAGUUCGCUGCGAAGAAUAACCGAGAUGACAAGUCACGCAUGCGCAGUACGAUUAGCUGCGUCUUUGUAUCUCUCGCAUAAAGUGCGAGUGAGACAGUUUUGUUGUUGUGACAGCAAGUUCAUGAGGUUAUGGUGCGUAAUAAUUUCUUGGCAUAAUGAUAGAAUCACAAAUAUCGCUUUAUUAUUUGCAAAAAAGAAACGUGAAUACGCUGCGAAGUCAGAAAUCAUAGAUAUGGAGCAAGUACUUAAUGAAUUUAAUUACACGUAUUUGAGGAAAAAGCUAUGUGUAAGUAUUUUACCAGCACCAAGUUGGGGUUUUACACGAGGAGAUCGCACAUUUUUUGGUCUACAAAAGAUUGAAAAGGAUUGCUGUUUUACCAGAUAUGCACGUUGAAAUAUACAUAGACAAUAAAAUUUGGCCGCUCUGAGAAUGUAUUAUCCUUGUUAAUAUGGAUCAGUUUAUUGUUCUUCUAAACAACGUAGAUAAAAUGCCUUUGCCAGAUCAUUAGGAUAUUGAACAACCAUUUUUUACACUCAUGCUUUAAAUGUAAACAAUUUAUCAAUCAUGUUCAAUACGAAAAUUGUAAAUGGUAAAUAGGAGAAUCAGGAUAUAUACAAGUUUUACAUAAUAGAAAUUCUCAGCUACAGUGAUGAGAAUUAGGAGAUAAGGUUAGGAUGUAGAAUAUAAGGAUUCACAAAUUAGAUAUAUACAUAAAAACGAUAUUUCUUGCUUGUUGUUGGCAAUUUCAAUUUAUUGUACAAUCUGGUAAUAAACAUAAACAGAAGUAUAAUUUUGUUUUACCAUCACUCUAUGAUCACGUUACGUACCGAGGGAGCUUUAAACAACGUGUGAUUGUUAUUUUUGUCUUUAUAUUUGGUUUUGCACUGCGGUACACGACACGCUGACA
RNAcentral lists this long non-coding RNA (1514 nucleotides) under Neodiprion pinetum (white pine sawfly). Its description in RNAcentral is "uncharacterized LOC124222355". The record is from RNAcentral. Lineage: Eukaryota; Metazoa; Arthropoda; Insecta; Hymenoptera; Diprionidae.